AAAGCAGGCUGCAAUUACAGUGCUUCAUUCUGUGGGAGUACUGCCAUUUUCCUGCUGAGAGUAACUCGUGUUAACACUGUCUUCGGUUUCACCUAUACAGUGGUGAAACUGUAUGUUCUUAACAUGUACAAGU
Small nucleolar RNA from Falco tinnunculus (common kestrel), 133 nucleotides. NCBI's taxonomy places the organism in Eukaryota, Metazoa, Chordata, Aves, Falconiformes, Falconidae. The record is from Ensembl.